AUAAAUUUAAUUUAAUUUCUACGCUUCAUUGAUGCUUGUAUAAAUACAACUGCCUGAUUAUUUAAAAGCAUUGUAACAUAUUACUUCUUGCUUCAAAAUAAACCAUGAAGUACUUCGCCGUUUUGGUUUUCACCAUCCUUGCUUUUACAUAUGUUAUGGCUGGUACCUACGUGCCAUGCUUUAAUGACGAGGAUUGUAAUAACUCGUGUCAGAGCAAAUGCAUCCCAUCCUCUGUGACCGGCGUGUGUGCCAAUAACAUAUGUUUCUGCAUGCUUAUUAGGAAUAUCAUAGGACGACACCAUGCUUAAAAUUAAAUAGCAUUAAUGUAAUUAAAUGUUAUUUAUACAAAAACAUGUAUUGGCCACAAUAAAAGUAAUAUGUAAAA
Vanessa tameamea is the source of this 385-nucleotide long non-coding RNA. RefSeq lists it as uncharacterized. The record is from RefSeq and is a predicted model, not a curated record. NCBI's taxonomy places the organism in Eukaryota, Metazoa, Arthropoda, Insecta, Lepidoptera, Nymphalidae. The transcript has 2 exons.